UGGUGGAGUGAUUUGUCUGGUUAAUUCCGUUAACGAACGAGACCUCAGCUUGCUAAAUAGUGAUCCGCUUUCUCACGAAAGCGCGAGACUUCUUAGAGGGACAUUUCGGAUUUACCGGAAGGAAGUUUGAGGCAAUAACA
This 140-nucleotide ribosomal RNA is filed under the name uncultured eukaryote. RNAcentral's name for it is "partial 18S ribosomal RNA". It matches the Rfam family "Eukaryotic small subunit ribosomal RNA", at positions 1299 to 1458 of the family's 1831-position model. The record is from RNAcentral.